Non-coding RNA from Pelobates cultripes (western spadefoot toad), 414 nucleotides. Lineage: Eukaryota; Metazoa; Chordata; Amphibia; Anura; Pelobatidae. The record is from the annotation of a GenBank genome assembly.
UGGCUCUCUUUACUCCAAGUCUGUCUCUCUCUCCCUCCCAGUGAUGGCUCUCUUUACCCACAGUCUGUCUGUCUCUCCCUCAGCGAUGGCUCUCUACCCCAAGUGUCUGUCUCUCUCUCCCUCAGCGAUGGCUCUCUUUACCCCAAGUGUGUCUCUCUGUCUCUCUCUCUCCCUCCCAGUGAUUGCUCUCUUUACCCCAAGUCUGUCUCUCUCCCAGUGAUGGCUCUUUACCCCAAGUCUCUGUCUCUCUCUCCCUCCCAGUGAUGGCUCUCUUUACCCCAACUGUCUGUGUCUCUCAAUCUCUCUCUCUCUCUCCCCCUCCCAGUGAUGGCUCUCUUUACCCCAAGUCUGUCUCUCCCCCUCAGUGAUGGCUCUCUUUACCCCAAGUCUGUCUCUCUCUCCCCCUCAAUGAUG